RNAcentral lists this ribosomal RNA (266 nucleotides) under uncultured Staphylococcus sp. Its description in RNAcentral is "partial 16S ribosomal RNA". It matches the Rfam family "Bacterial small subunit ribosomal RNA", at positions 524 to 789 of the family's 1533-position model. The record is from RNAcentral. Lineage: Bacteria; Bacillati; Bacillota; Bacilli; Caryophanales; Staphylococcaceae.
UACGUAGGUGGCAAGCGUUAUCCGGAAUUAUUGGGCGUAAAGCGCGCGUAGGCGGUUUUUUAAGUCUGAUGUGAAAGCCCACGGCUCAACCGUGGAGGGUCAUUGGAGACUGGAAAACUUGAGUGCAGAAGAGGAAAGUGGAAUUCCAUGUGUAGCGGUGAAAUGCGCAGAGAUAUGGAGGAACACCAGUGGCGAAGGCGACUUUCUGGUCUGUAACUGACGCUGAUGUGCGAAAGCGUGGGGAUCAAACAGGAUUAGAUACCCUG